GCCAAAAAUCUAGCCNUNUUCUUCCCCNCACCUACCUACUUAAACAAAAUAAAAUAUUCUCUAAACCUAGUAGAGAAGAUCGAAAAACUUCUAAGAGCUAUAAAAAUGUACCGCAAGGGAAAGAUGAAAUAAAAAUGAAAUAUAUNUCAAGCACAAAAAAAUAGAGACUCACCCUCGUACCUUUUGCAUCAUGGUUUAGCUAGUCUAAUUAGGCAAAAAGAAUNUUAAGUCUAACCCCCCGAAACUGAGUGAGCUAAUUUGGGGCCGCUUAAUGAGCUAACCCGUCUAUGUAGAAAAAUAGUGGGAUGACCCCAAAUUAGAAGUGAUAAACCUAACGAACUCAGUUAUAGCUGGUUUCUCAAGAAAAGAAUCUUAGUUCCGCCUAAAGCAACAUAAAUUUUUCCANAAAUUCCCCCAAGCNNNNNCUUUAGAGUAAGUCAAAUAAGGUACAGCCUAUUUGACACAGGACACAACCUUUAAUAACGGGUAAAACAACUUUAAACAUNNNNNAAGUGGGCCUAAGAGCAGCCACCUUUUAAAAAGCGUCAAAGCUUANNNCACAAUUCCUNAAUUCCUAAAACAUUAUUGACCCCUUCAUUUCUAUUGAGAACUCCUAUAAUUUUNAUAGGACCUUUUAUGCUAAAACUAGUAACAAGAGGUCAUCNCCUCUCUAAAAUGUAAACUCAAACCAGCUUGAACCCAUCACUGGCACCCAACAGAUUUUANACUAAAGUAAUAACUNGUUCUAGAAAACAUUACUUCACCANNNNUUACUGUUAACCUAACACAAGAACAUUUUAAGAAAGAUUAAAAGAAAAAGAAGGAACUCGGCAAAUAUUAAGCCCGCCUGUUUACCAAAAACAUCGCCUCUUGCCCCCACAUAAGAGGCCUAGCCUGCCCAGUGAUUUNUAUUCAACGGCCGCGGUAUCCUAACCGUGCGAAGGUAGCGUAAUCACUUGUCUCCUAAAUAGAGACUAGUAUGAAAGGCAUCACGAGACUUAUACUGUCUCCUUUCUCUAAUCAGUGAACCUAAUCUCCCCGUGAAGAAGCGGGGAUAAUUAUAUAAGACGAGAAGACCCUAUGGAGCUUAAAACAGUCCUACACGUGCUNACACAACUCUUCAACCAAGGUNCCUCCCCCUCCCCCCGNCACGCUGAUUACAUGUUUUUGGCUGGGGUGACCGCGGAAAAUAAACUACCCUCCACGAUGAAAGUGGCACCUCCCACUAAAUAACAAGUCACAACUUUAUCUAUCAAUAAAUUGACAUUAAUUGACCCAAUAAUUUNGAUCAACGAACCAAGUUACCCUAGGGAUAACAGCGCAAUCCACUUUAAGAGCCCUUAUCGACAAGUGGGCUUACGACCUCGAUGUUGGAUCAGGGUAUCCUAGUGGUGUAGCCGCUACUAAAGGUUCGUUUGUUCAACGAUU
RNAcentral lists this ribosomal RNA (1428 nucleotides) under Pristimantis aff. laticlavius SRR-2019. RNAcentral describes it as "partial 16S ribosomal RNA". It matches the Rfam family "Bacterial large subunit ribosomal RNA", at positions 378 to 2589 of the family's 2925-position model. Lineage: Eukaryota; Metazoa; Chordata; Amphibia; Anura; Strabomantidae. The record is from RNAcentral.